GAUGAAGAACGUAGCAAAAUGCGAUAAGUAAUGUGAAUUGCAGAAUUCAGUGAAUCAUCGAAUCUUUGAACGCACAUUGCGCCCGCCAGUAUUCUGGCGGGCAUGCCUGUUCGAGCAUCAUUUCAACCCUCAAGCCCUCGGGUUUGGUGUUGGGGAUCGGCGAGCCUUUCUGGCAAGCCGGCCCCGAAAUCUAGUGGCGGUCUCGCUGCAGCCUCCAUUGCGUAGUAGCAAAACCCUCGCAACUGGAACGCGGCGCGGCCAAGCCGUUAAACCCCCAACUUCUGAAUGUUGACCUCGGAUCAGGUAGGAAUACCCGCUGAACUUAAGCAUAUCAAUAAGCGGAGGA
RNAcentral lists this unclassified non-coding RNA (346 nucleotides) under soil metagenome. RNAcentral describes it as "partial contains 5.8S ribosomal RNA, internal transcribed spacer 2, and large subunit ribosomal RNA". The stretch from base 1 to 120 matches the Rfam family "5.8S ribosomal RNA", at positions 35 to 154 of the family's 154-position model. The record is from RNAcentral.